This 323-nucleotide unclassified non-coding RNA is filed under the name soil metagenome. Its description in RNAcentral is "partial contains 5.8S ribosomal RNA, internal transcribed spacer 2, and large subunit ribosomal RNA". The stretch from base 1 to 120 matches the Rfam family "5.8S ribosomal RNA", at positions 35 to 154 of the family's 154-position model. The record is from RNAcentral.
GAUGAAGAACGUAGCGAAAUGCGAUAAGUAGUGUGAAUUGCAGAAUUCAGUGAAUCAUCGAAUCUUUGAACGCACAUUGCGCCCCUUGGUAUUCCAUGGGGCAUGCCUGUUCGAGCGUCAUUUGUACCUUCAAGCUUUGCUUGGUGUUGGGUGUUUGUCCUGAGGGACUCGCCUUAAAGUAAUUGGCAGCCAGUGUUUGGUUUUGAAGCGCAGCACAAGUCGCGAUUCAAAGCUAUACGCCCGCUUCCACAAGCCUUUUUCACUUUUAACCUCGGAUCAGGUAGGAGUACCCGCUGAACUUAAGCAUAUCAAUAAGCGGAGGA